Molecule: ribosomal RNA, 163 nt
Filed under: Macrolaimus canadensis
Lineage: Eukaryota; Metazoa; Nematoda; Chromadorea; Rhabditida; Chambersiellidae
Description: partial large subunit ribosomal RNA
Rfam family: Eukaryotic large subunit ribosomal RNA
Source: RNAcentral
AAAACAAGCAGUAUAGUCCCAUCCAAUUUGCUUGCAAAUGGGUGGAGAUAGAGCAUAUGCGAUGAGACCCGAAAGAUGGUGAACUAUGCCUGAGCAGGAUGAAGUCAGAGGAAACUCUGAUGGAAGUCCGAAGCGGUUCUGACGUGCAAAUCGAUCGUCUGAC